CUUCUAACCCUAAUUCUUUCUCGCACUCCCUCUUUCUCUGCUCUCCCUUUCUUCUCCGGCCGCUUUUUCUUCUCGGCCGCCGUCUCUUCUCUGUCCGAUGUCGCCAUUAGUCAUUGAUAAUCGUUUUUAAUCUUAUCUCAAAUCUCACGAUCAACAAUAAUUUCAACAGAAUCUUCUAGGGCUCAGAAACAACGAAAGAUGAAGGUUAAACCAUAAUUAACUUCGAUCAAAUCUUCAGUCAAUUACAGAGUUGAACGAAAUUGACUUGCUAGUUGAUAGGAGGAGCAGAGGUCCGAGCUGGUAUCGUCUUGUCAGUAUGUUCCCGAUGAAGAUAAAGUAGGGAGUGUGGGUUUUUAUUAUUUGGAAAAAGAUGUGACCAUUACACUCUGGAUGUAGUUAGAGGUUCAAAGUUCUGCUCUAAAGGCUUCAAGUGUGCUUACUAAUGCCGACACUUCAUGUUUUGACAUGUAGCAUAAGUUUGAAGAAUCAAAGGGCUAAGGCUAUGCCACCACAGAAAGACACCAUUGAUGAGAAAGAAAAGCCAAUGAGACAUCUGAAAAGCGAAGACAUUGAAGUUGAGGAAUGUAGUUCAAAGAAACGAAUACGUCACUGCAGAAAUACAGUAGAUGAAAAUAUCGCCAUUUUAGGGUUUGAGCCCGAUGCAUAGUUGAGUUGUAUAGCACGAUGACUUAGGAAAAUGAUGGAUUCGAUUGUUAUAAAUUGCUUUUUCGUUGAUUUUCUAGUAAUGAAUACUUUCUUUUAGUUUGCCUUUAA
This is a long non-coding RNA of Erigeron canadensis, 774 nucleotides long. RefSeq lists it as uncharacterized. The transcript is spliced from 5 exons. Lineage: Eukaryota; Viridiplantae; Streptophyta; Magnoliopsida; Asterales; Asteraceae. The record is from RefSeq and is a predicted model, not a curated record.